AUAUUUUUUUUAAAAUUCUAUUUUUUUCCUAUAACUUCUAUUUUACUAAAUUUGUUUCAUAUAUAUUUUUUAAAUUCCAUUUUUUCCUAUAACUUCAAUUUCAUGCUGACAUCACUUAGCCGUUGGAUUUGAAUUUAAGUUGUAAUUUUUAAAUAAUAAAUUAUGUUUGGCCCUAUGGCCCUUUGACCCUUGGUGAGAGACGGUUUUUUUGUGACAGGGCUAAAACGAGCCAUAUGGCCCUCAGUUGGAGAUGGAGGCAAAUAUGACCAUGUACUGUUCAUUAAAAUAUUAAUAUC
RNAcentral lists this long non-coding RNA (296 nucleotides) under Malus domestica (apple). RNAcentral's name for it is "long non-coding RNA (MDOM_LNC004650)". The record is from RNAcentral. Lineage: Eukaryota; Viridiplantae; Streptophyta; Magnoliopsida; Rosales; Rosaceae.